CCAGACUCCUACGGGAGGCAGCAGUGAGGAAUAUUGGUCAAUGGCCGGAAGGCUGAACCAGCCAAGCCGCGUGAGGGAGGAAGGCGCAGAGCGUCGCAGACCUCUUUUGCCGGGGGACAAAAGGCCGGACUCGUCCGGUCCUGAGGGUACCCGGAGAAAAAGCAUCGGCUAACUCCGUGCCAGCAGCCGCGGUAAUACGUAGGUGGCGAGCGUUAUCCGGAAUGAUUGGGCGUAAAGGGUGCGUAGGCGGUCGAUUAAGUCUGGAGUGAAAGGUACCGGCUCAACCGGUAUAGGCUCCGGAAACUGAUGGACUGGAGUACAGGAGAGGGUGGCGGAACUCCAUGUGUAGCGGUAAAAUGCGUAGAUAUAUGGAAGAACACCGGUGGCGAAGGCGGCCGCCCGGACUGUAACUGACGCUGAGGCACGAAAGCGUGGGGAGCAAAUAGGAUUAGAUACCCCCGUA
RNAcentral lists this ribosomal RNA (463 nucleotides) under uncultured bacterium. RNAcentral's name for it is "partial 16S ribosomal RNA". It matches the Rfam family "Bacterial small subunit ribosomal RNA", at positions 331 to 792 of the family's 1533-position model. The record is from RNAcentral.